Molecule: long non-coding RNA, 408 nt
Organism: Poeciliopsis prolifica (blackstripe livebearer)
Lineage: Eukaryota; Metazoa; Chordata; Actinopteri; Cyprinodontiformes; Poeciliidae
Exons: 3
Source: RefSeq, a predicted model, not a curated record
CGGGUCAGUUCCUGUGAGUUCAGUUAGCACCAGCUAACAGCUAGCGCCGAUUCCUCGGAGGUUACCUACGGAGGGGAACCGGACCAGACCCGAGCCGUUCACCAGUCCCGCCCCACAGCCUCCAGCCUGCGCUGCUGUUCUCUCUGACCAGGCUCUGACCCGGUUCUGGCCCGGUUCCGACCCGCUCCUGCGAGGCUCCGGUAGUUACGGUGGGAAGAUGUCUGCGGUUCAGCGGAUGAAGGUGGCCAACGAGCGCCACAGCAAGACAAUCACACAGCGGGGACACGUCCAGAAAACCUCGAGGCCGGUGAACGAGAAAAGUCUCCAGUGGGUCCCUGGCUGCUGGCGCUCUUCGUCUUUGUGGUUUGUGGAUCAGCCAUCUUCCAGAUCAUCCAGAGCAUCCGACAG